This 506-nucleotide ribosomal RNA is filed under the name uncultured bacterium. Its description in RNAcentral is "partial 16S ribosomal RNA". It matches the Rfam family "Bacterial small subunit ribosomal RNA", at positions 29 to 523 of the family's 1533-position model. The record is from RNAcentral.
AGUGAACGCUGGCGGUAGGCCUAACACAUGCAAGUCGAACGGCAGCACAGGAGAGCUCGCUCUCUGGGUGGCGAGUGGCGGACGGGUGAGGAAUACAUCGGAAUCUACUCUGUCGUGGGGGAUAACGUAGGGAAACUUACGCUAAUACCGCAUACGACCUACGGGUGAAAGCAGGGGACCUUCGGGCCUUGCGCGAUUGAAUGAGCCGAUGUCGGAUUAGCUAGUUGGCGGGGUAAAGGCCCACCAAGGCGACGAUCCGUAGCUGGUCUGAGAGGAUGAUCAGCCACACUGGAACUGAGACACGGUCCAGACUACUACGGGAGGCAGCAGUGGGGAAUAUUGGACAAUGGGCGCAAGCCUGAUUCAGCCAUACCGCGUGGGUGAAGAAGGCCUUCGGGUUGUAAAGCCCUUUUGUUGGGAAAGAAAUCCAGCUGGCUAAUACCCGGUUGGGAUGACGGUACCCAAAGAAUAAGCACCGGCUAACUUCGUGCCAGCCGCCGCGGUAA